AACGAACGCUGGCGGCAUGCCUAACACAUGCAAGUCGAACGAGACCUUCGGGUCUAGUGGCGCACGGGUGCGUAACGCGUGGGAACCUGCCUUUAGGUUCGGAAUAACUCAGAGAAAUUUGAGCUAAUACCGGAUGAUGUCUUCGGACCAAAGAUUUAUCGCCGUUAGAUGGGCCCGCGUUGGAUUAGCUAGUUGGUGGGGUAAAGGCCUACCAAGGCGACGAUCCAUAGCUGGUCUGAGAGGAUGAUCAGCCACACUGGGACUGAGACACGGCCCAGACUCCUACGGGAGGCAGCAGUGGGGAAUAUUGGACAAUGGGCGAAAGCCUGAUCCAGCAAUGCCGCGUGAGUGAUGAAGGCCUUAGGGUUGUAAAGCUCUUUUACCCGAGAUGAUAAUGACAGUAUCGGGAGAAUAAGCUCCGGCUAACUCCGUG
This 433-nucleotide ribosomal RNA is filed under the name uncultured bacterium. Its description in RNAcentral is "partial 16S ribosomal RNA". It matches the Rfam family "Bacterial small subunit ribosomal RNA", at positions 29 to 507 of the family's 1533-position model. The record is from RNAcentral.